RNAcentral lists this ribosomal RNA (468 nucleotides) under uncultured bacterium. RNAcentral's name for it is "partial 16S ribosomal RNA". It matches the Rfam family "Bacterial small subunit ribosomal RNA", at positions 28 to 507 of the family's 1533-position model. The record is from RNAcentral.
GACGAACGCUGGCGGCGUGCUUAACACAUGCAAGUCGAACGGAAAGGCCCUGCUUUUGUGGUGUGCUCGAGUGGCGAACGGGGGAGAAACACGUGAGUAACCUGCCCGUGACUUUGGGAUAACUUCAGGAAACUGGGGCUAAUACCGGAUAUGAGCUCCUGCUGCAUGGUGGGGGUUGGAAAGUUUCGGCGGUUGGGGAUGGACUCGCGGCUGAUCAGCUUGUUGGUGGGGUUGUGGCUUACCAAGGCUUUGACGGGUAGCCGGCCUGAGAGGGUGACCGGCCACAUUGGGACUGAGAUACGGCCCAGACUCCUACGGGAGGCAGCAGUGGGGAAUAUUGCACAAUGGGCGGAAGCCUGAUGCAGCAACGCCGCGUGCGGGAUGACGGCCUUCGGGUUGUAAACCGCUUUCGCCUGUGACGAAGCGUGAGUGACGGUAAUGGGUAAAGAAGCACCGGCUAACUACGUG